UCAUUCCAAACACUGCCUAAAUUUUGAAGAAAGAAAAAUGCGGCUUAAAAUCCCAAAAUGAGGUUUUAGUUUUUCUCUAAUCUAUUUACCAACUAAAGUCAUUCGCACCGGUUCGCUAUUAAAACCCCCAUCACAGAAGGGGAGAAAAAGGAAGAAGAACAUUUAAUACAAAAGUUUCUGUAUGUAGAACAAAAAAAAGAAAAAAAAGAAAAAAUGGCGAAACAGGAACAAAUUUCUUCUCGACCAUGGAUACUCGAAGCCGUACCCCUUUUGGUUGUCAUUCUCAUAGCAGCCCAUGUCCUCGCUUUGGUUUAUUGGAUUUAUAGGCUGGCAACAGAGAAACUGCCGCAGAGGACAAAAAAACAUUAGGGAUAC
Molecule: long non-coding RNA, 375 nt
Organism: Coffea eugenioides
Lineage: Eukaryota; Viridiplantae; Streptophyta; Magnoliopsida; Gentianales; Rubiaceae
Exons: 2
Source: RefSeq, a predicted model, not a curated record